Molecule: ribosomal RNA, 212 nt
Filed under: uncultured eukaryote
Lineage: Eukaryota
Description: partial small subunit ribosomal RNA
Source: RNAcentral
GAUGGCUUCCUCCAUCAGCUUGCCCGGCUUGAAGGUCACCACCUUGCGUUCGGGAACCAUCACCUCCUCACCCGUGCGUGGAUUUCUGGCCUUCCUUGGCUUGCGGGUGCGGACUGCGAAGACCCCGAACUUGCGGAGUUCCAGACGCCCUUCCGAGGCCAGCACGUUAAUCAUGUUGUCCAGCACCAUCUGCACGACCCGCUUCACGUUGG